This 217-nucleotide long non-coding RNA is filed under the name Daucus carota (carrot). RNAcentral describes it as "long non-coding RNA (DCAR_LNC007210)". Lineage: Eukaryota; Viridiplantae; Streptophyta; Magnoliopsida; Apiales; Apiaceae. The record is from RNAcentral.
UGAAACAUUUUAUUUACAUGGACUAUGUCCUAGUACAAACAACAUCACGUUACUAUACAAGCUUACGGAAUUCACUUAGAACAAUAAUCUACUUUGUAAUUCCAUCUCCUGCAGAGAUAAAUAAUUUAGAACUUUUACCAGUUCUUCUUGAAGUUAUCUGCAGUUCAAACAGUCAAAAAUGUAGUUUAAGUUCACCUAAGCUGACACCACAUGCAGC